This 468-nucleotide ribosomal RNA is filed under the name uncultured bacterium. Its description in RNAcentral is "partial 16S ribosomal RNA". It matches the Rfam family "Bacterial small subunit ribosomal RNA", at positions 28 to 507 of the family's 1533-position model. The record is from RNAcentral.
GACGAACGCUGGCGGCGUGCUUAACACAUGCAAGUCGAACGGAAAGGCCCUGCUUUUGUGGGGUGCUCGAGUGGCGAACGGGUGAGUAACACGUGAGUAACCUGCCCUUGACUUUGGGAUAACUUCAGGAAACUGGGGCUAAUACCGGAUAGGAGCUCCUGCUGCAUGGUGGGGGUUGGAAAGUUUCGGCGGUUGGGGAUGGACUCGCGGCUUAUCAGCUUGUUGGUGGGGUAGUGGCUUACCAAGGCUUUGACGGGUAGCCGGCCUGAGAGGGUGACCGGCGACAUUGGGACUGAGAGACGGACCAGACUCCUACGGGAGGCAGCAGUGGGGAAUAUUGCACAAUGGGCGGAAGCCUGAUGCAGCAACGCCGCGUGCGGGAUGACGGCCUUCGGGUUGUAAACCGCUUUCGCUUGUGACGAAGCGGGAGUGACGGUAAUGGGUAAAGAAGCACCGGCUAACUACGUG